AGCCUGUACAGUUCCAUCCAUCCAUCAGCCUGUACAGUUCCAUCCACCCAGUCAUCAGCCUGUACAGUUCCAUCCACCCAGUCAUCAGCCUGUACAGUUCCAUCCACCCAGUCAUCAGCCUGUACAGUUCCAUCCACCCAGUCAUCAGCCUGUACAGUUCCAUCCACCCAGUCAUCAGCCUGUACAGUUCCAUCCACCCAGUCAUCAGCCUGUACAGUUCCAUCCACCCAGUCAUCAGCCUGUACAGUUCCAUCCACCCAGUCAUCAGCCUGUACAGUUCCAUCCACCCAGUCAUCAGCCUGUACAGUUCCAUCCACCCAGUCAUCAGCCUGUACAGUUCCAUCCACCCAGUCAUCAGCCUGUACAGUUCCAUCCAUCCAGUCAGCCUGUACAGUUCCAUCCACCCAGUCAUCAGCCUGUACAGUUCCAUCCAUCCAGUCAGCCUGUACAGUUCCAUCCACCCAGUCACAGCCUGUACAGUUCCAUCCACACUGUAUUACUCCAUCUUCUCAACACAUAAGGAAUCAGUGUGUUGUGAGGAGCCUCUGUACUAUGUGGAAUAGUCCCACUCCACUUCUAGAUCCUUAAGCUUCACAAACUACAAAGUGCCCCAUAAAGAACUAACACAGUCAGUCGGAUAGCCAUGAACACAUUGUGAAUGGGCCCAUCAAAAGGCCCACCACACUAGGUUGUAAUGUGUUGUUCACUGCUCUAGUCUGCUUCACGGAACUAAAAAGUGGAAGGGAACUAUUCCGAGGACGACAGUGGUCCACUUCUAAGAUGGCCGACAAGAAGAAGAAAAAAGGUCCAAUCACAGCAGCUCUUUAUUUGCUUUCCCUUCUUUACUCACAUAUUAUAAAUACUCCUCAUCCACCAACGUUGAUAAGAAGCCCACUACAAUGUACGUCAGAGAGGCUGAGAGAAGACCGGGUAGGCUUACCAGUUACAGACCAGGGCUGUGUCUGAAAUGGCACCCGGUUCCCUAGAAAGAAGAGACAGGAAAUAGGGCAUCCUUUUGGGCGCACCCUAAAAACACUAAGGGCAAGUGCCACCACCACCACUGGCGGUCACAUGGCAGGAUUCUCAUAGUCCUGAUGGAAGACCUGAGGGCCACUGCAUAGCAGAGUCCAGAGGGUUGAGUUCCAGAUCAACCCAGAGCCUCCCUAUUCCCUAGGGCACUUCUAGAAAGUAUGGAGUGGAAACUGUAACCAAUAUGGUGAUUACUUCACCUUGUUAUAGUGCUCAUACCUCCAAAUCGGUCUCAGACCUAGAUGAUUGUCUAGGGAUUGGGGGGGUCGAUUUGGGAUUCAAGCCUAGAUGGCAGGUACCCAUUCACAGCCUAGCAUGAUCUCACACAUAAGUAGUCUUCCACCAUAAUGGGUUGCAUUCAUUGGGGCAUGCAACGGGAAGCGUUUAACAUUUUGCAACGUGGAACCGAACAUUAGCGUUUCUUUAUUGGGACCAAGUCCAGGUAGUUCCUCAGUUUGUUUUCUUCCGUUUGGUGCCUAAUGAACACAACCCAGCGCUGAAGAGAGGUACAACAUGGUGGGGAAAUAAACAUGGCCGCCUCCGCUGACUUAAAGCAGGGCAUUGAAACCUGAGAGGUGGCUGCAGCAGAUCGAUUAAACAGACGAUUACAGGAGGAGUCAGCAGGCUGCGUUUGCCUCUCUCACACACCGACUGCGUUAAAACCAACGAGAACACAUCAAUCAGCCGCGUAGCACACGACUACACGUCCUCUCUGCCGCCACGUUGCCAACGUUACAUUUAAAAAGAGAAAAAAAGUUGUCCAAAAUAGUAUUUACAUCUUCAACACACAUAAAUGAUGUUCCCUGACAUACUGUCCGUGUAAGGCAAUGAGGCUUCGUAGACCUCUCUGUGCUUCAGGGACGAAACACCAUACUGACAUGCUCCUGUCCACCACUCGGGAAAAGGAAAUCGAGAAAAAUGUCAAAUGUAAAAGUUAAAAUGGGUCAAACAGCAGCCCCCAACCACAUCCAGGAAACCAAGUGAUAAAAGUCACAAUUAAUAAUGAAAAUACAGCUUUUAAACAGCUCCGAGGGACUGGAAGAUAAAUACAGCAGUCUGGAUAGUUACAUUAUCAUUCCCAAUUACAAGUCCAUGUACUAUAUGAGAAUACACUGUUCACAUACUCUUUACAGCACGCUUGGUGACAGAGCAGGUGGUUAGGAAGCGGCGGGGCAGAGGGGCGUAUACAGGUGGUUAGGAAGGGGCGGGGCAGAGGGGGGCGUAUACAGGUGGUUAGGAAGGGGCGGGGCAGAGGGGCAUAUACAGGUGGUUAGGAAGGGGCGGGGCAGAGGGGCGUAUACAGAUGGUUAGGAAGGGGCGGGGCAGAGGGGUGUAUACAGAUGGUUAGGAAGGGGCGGGGCAGAGGGGCAUAUACAGAUGGUUAGGAAGGGGCGGGGCAGAGGGGCAUAUACAGAUGGUUAGGAAGGGGCGGGGCAGAGGGGCGUAUACAGAUGGUUAGGAAGGGGGCGGGGCAGAGGGGCAUAUACAGAUGGUUAGGAAGGGGCGGGGCAGAGGGGCAUAUACAGGUGGGUGAGGGGGUUGUAUAUAGGGUGGGCAUUGCAUUCCCAUGCCACCAAAGAGACCUAGGUAGGACUUGCAAUUCCUUUUGUACAGGGGCCCCCCAGUCACGCUUUCACCUUUGAACUUCCCUCUACAAAGAAACUUACUGAGUCUGACCCCUCCAGAGCCUCCCAAAACCCUGCCCGACGACAGCAGCUGCCGUCCCAUUACUGACCAAUCACCAGAAGGCGAGACGAGAAUAUAGGUCACCUCUUCCCCUCAUGAUACCAUUCAGAAAGAGUAAAGACACACCCUUAAAUUCAUAUUUGAUGAAAA
Molecule: long non-coding RNA, 2865 nt
Organism: Oncorhynchus tshawytscha (Chinook salmon)
Lineage: Eukaryota; Metazoa; Chordata; Actinopteri; Salmoniformes; Salmonidae
Exons: 3
Source: RefSeq, a predicted model, not a curated record